This 484-nucleotide ribosomal RNA is filed under the name uncultured bacterium. RNAcentral describes it as "partial 16S ribosomal RNA". It matches the Rfam family "Bacterial small subunit ribosomal RNA", at positions 30 to 507 of the family's 1533-position model. The record is from RNAcentral.
AUUGAACGCUGGCGGCAGGCCUAACACAUGCAAGUCGAGCGGAUGAAGGGAGCUUGCUCCUGGAUUCAGCGGCGGACGGGUGAGUAAUGCCUAGGAAUCUGCCUGGUGGUGGGGGAUAACGUCCGGAAACGGGCGCUAAUACCGCAUACGUCCUGAGGGAGAAAGUGGGGGAUCUUCGGACCUCACGCUAUCAGAUGAGCCUAGGUCGGAUUAGCUAGUUGGUGGGGUAAAGGCCUACCAAGGCGACGAUCCGUAACUGAUCUGAGAGGAUGAUCAGUCACACUGGAACUGAGACACGGUCCAGACUCCUACGGGAGGCAGCAGUGGGGAAUAUUGGACAAUGGGCGAAAGCCUGAUCCAGCCAUGCCGCGUGUGUGAAGAAGGUCUUCGGAUUGUAAAGCACUUUAAGUUGGGAGGAAGGGCAGUAAGUUAAUACCUUGCUGUUUUGACGUUACCAACAGAAUAAGCACCGGCUAACUUCGUG